ACCUAUACAACUUUCAGCAACGGAUCUCUUGGCUCUCGCAUCGAUGAAGAACGCAGCGAAAUGCGAUAAGUAAUGUGAAUUGCAGAAUUCAGUGAAUCAUCGAAUCUUUGAACGCACCUUGCGCUCCUUGGUAUUCCGAGGAGCAUGCCUGUUUGAGUGUCAUUAAUUUCUCAACCUCACCAACUU
This 186-nucleotide ribosomal RNA is filed under the name Coprinopsis lagopus. RNAcentral's name for it is "5.8S RNA". The stretch from base 9 to 162 matches the Rfam family "5.8S ribosomal RNA". From Rfam's summary of the family: 5.8S ribosomal RNA (5.8S rRNA) is a component of the large subunit of the eukaryotic ribosome. It is transcribed by RNA polymerase I as part of the 45S precursor that also contains 18S and 28S rRNA. Functionally, it is thought that 5.8S rRNA may be involved in ribosome translocation. RNAcentral also lists the same sequence under 3 other names. Lineage: Eukaryota; Fungi; Basidiomycota; Agaricomycetes; Agaricales; Psathyrellaceae. The record is from RNAcentral.